Molecule: ribosomal RNA, 253 nt
Filed under: uncultured bacterium
Lineage: Bacteria
Description: partial 16S ribosomal RNA
Rfam family: Bacterial small subunit ribosomal RNA
Source: RNAcentral
UACGUAGGGGGCAAGCGUUGUCCGGAUUUAUUGGGCGUAAAGAGCUCGUAGGCGGCUUGUCACGUCGGGUGUGAAAGCCCGGGGCUUAACCCCGGGUCUGCAUUCGAUACGGGCAGGCUAGAGUGUGGUAGGGGAGAUCGGAAUUCCUGGUGUAGCGGUGAAAUGCGCAGAUAUCAGGAGGAACACCGAUGGCGAAGGCAGGUCUCUGGGCCACUACUGACGCUGAGAAGCGAAAGCAUGGGGAGCGAACAGG